UAACACUUUCUAAAUGAGUAUUUUUAUUU
RNAcentral lists this non-coding RNA (29 nucleotides) under Mus musculus (house mouse). The record is from RNAcentral. Lineage: Eukaryota; Metazoa; Chordata; Mammalia; Rodentia; Muridae.